RNAcentral lists this ribosomal RNA (253 nucleotides) under uncultured bacterium. Its description in RNAcentral is "partial 16S ribosomal RNA". It matches the Rfam family "Bacterial small subunit ribosomal RNA", at positions 524 to 776 of the family's 1533-position model. The record is from RNAcentral.
UACGUAGGGGGCAAGCGUUGUCCGGAAUCAUUGGGCGUAAAGAGCGUGUAGGCGGUCCGAUAAGUCGGUUGUGAAAGUCAAGGGCUCAACCCUUGAAUGCCGACCGAUACUGUCGGGCUAGAGUCCGGAAGAGGCGAGUGGAAUUCCUGGUGUAGCGGUGAAAUGCGCAGAUAUCAGGAGGAACACCUGUGGUGUAGACAGCUUACUGGACCACUUCUGACGCUGAGACACGAAAGCGUGGGUAGCAAACAGG